This 490-nucleotide ribosomal RNA is filed under the name uncultured bacterium. RNAcentral's name for it is "partial 16S ribosomal RNA". It matches the Rfam family "Bacterial small subunit ribosomal RNA", at positions 30 to 507 of the family's 1533-position model. The record is from RNAcentral.
AUUGAACGCUGGCGGCAGGCCUAACACAUGCAAGUCGAACGGUAACAGGAAGAAGCUUGCUUCUUUGCUGACGAGUGGCGGACGGGUGAGUAAUGUCUGGGAAACUGCCUGAUGGAGGGGGAUAACUACUGGAAACGGUAGCUAAUACCGCAUAACUUCGCAAGACCAAAGAGGGGGACCUUCGGGCCUUUUGCCAUCGGAUGUGCCCAGAUGGGAUUAGCUAGUAGGUGGGGUAACGGCUCACCUAGGCGACGAUCCCUAGCUGGUCUGAGAGGAUGACCAGCCACACUGGAACUGAGACACGGUCCAGACUCCUACGGGAGGCAGCAGUGGGGAAUAUUGCACAAUGGGCGCAAGCCUGAUGCAGCCAUGCCGCGUGUAUGAAGAAGGCCUUCGGGUUGUAAAGUACUUUCAGCGGGGAGGAAGGGAGUAAAGUUAAUACCUUUGCUCAUUGACGUUACCCGCAGAAGAAGCACCGGCUAACUCCGUG